This 429-nucleotide ribosomal RNA is filed under the name uncultured bacterium. RNAcentral describes it as "bacterial SSU rRNA". It matches the Rfam family "Bacterial small subunit ribosomal RNA", at positions 335 to 783 of the family's 1533-position model. The record is from RNAcentral.
ACUCCUACGGGAGGCAGCAGUGGGGAAUAUUGCACAAUGGGCGCAAGCCUGAUGCAGCAACGCCGCGUGAGUGAUGAAGGCCUUCGGGUCGUAAAGCUCUGUCUCAAGGAAGAAUAAAUGACGGUACUUGAGGAGGAAGCCCCGGCUAACUACGUGCCAGCAGCCGCGGUAAUACGUAGGGGCAAGCGUUAUCCGGAAUCACUGGGCGUAAAGGGUGCGUAGGCGGUUUUUCAAGUCAGAAGUGAAAGGCUAUGGCUCAACCAUAGUAAGCUUUUGAAACUGUUAAACUUGAGUGCAGGAGAGGAAAGUGGAAUUCCUAGUGUAGAGGUGAAAUUCGUAGAUAUUAGGAGGAACACCAGUGGCGAAGGCGACUUUCUGGACUGUAACUGACGCUGAGGCACGAAAGCGUGGGAGCGAACAGGAUUAGAU